This 561-nucleotide long non-coding RNA is filed under the name Homo sapiens (human). RNAcentral describes it as "HSALNT0268140". The record is from RNAcentral. Lineage: Eukaryota; Metazoa; Chordata; Mammalia; Primates; Hominidae.
CAGGUUUCUCUAAAGAUGCAGUGAGAUGAUGGCUGGGGAGCUCCUCUAUCUGCGCCUGGCAGGUUGUGAGCACCUUAAAAGGACUGGCUUUCAUCGUCACUUCCAGGGAUGACAUGGCCGCGCCACUUCCAGCAAUUCUGGACCUUGCCCUGUGGAGCCUGAACAAGCACUUUGUAGGAUGCACUGCACGGAUACCAAAGAGGAGCAUCUAUGUCCUCCUGGAAAUUUGAGUCUGGCUGGAGAGACAAAAGACGGGAAUUCUCAAUCAGGGAGAAUUGAGCAGGGGAGUGAGAAGGGUUCGCUGCAGAUGGGUGGAGAGCAAUCAGCAAAUUCCAGGACUAGAGGAGCACGGGUUGCAUAAAGCUUCUAUUGCUGCUGUCACAAAUCACCACUAACUUUGUGGUUUAAACAACAUCAAGCCAUCUUGUCAACAGAAGUGUUGGCCUGUGGAUGGAGCUGAUGCCCCAAAGAUCGCAGAACACAAAAUGAGAAAGAACUAAGUUCUUUACUUAUGUCUUUGAGCCCCUGGAUUAACCAACCAGCAGCUACCUGAACUCCUAG